AUUCUGGCUCAGGAUGAACGCUAGCGGCAGGCUUAACACAUGCAAGUCGAGGGGCAACGCGAGUAGCAAUACUUGGCGGCGACCGGCGCAAGGGUGCGUAACGCGUGAGCAACAUGCCCGUAUCAGGGGGAUAAUCCAGGGAAACUUGGUCUAAUACCCCAUAGUAAUUUUUGUAAGGCAUCUUAUAAGAUUUAAAGCUUUGGUGGAUACGGAUUGGCUCGCGUGACAUUAGCUGGAUGGUAAGGUAACGGCUUACCAUGGCUAUGAUGUCUAGGGGUUCUGAGAGGAAGGUCCCCCCACACUGGAACUGAGACACGGUCCAGACUCCUACGGGAGGCAGCAGUGAGGAAUAUUGGACAAUGGAUGGAAAUCUGAUCCAGCCAUGCCGCGUGAAGGAAGAAAGGUCCUAUGGAUUGUAAACUUCUUUUGUAUGGGAGCAAUAAGGCCUACGAGUAGGUUGAUGAGAGUACCAUACGAAUAAGCACCGGCUAACUCCGUGCCAGCAGCAGC
Molecule: ribosomal RNA, 510 nt
Filed under: uncultured bacterium
Lineage: Bacteria
Description: bacterial SSU rRNA
Rfam family: Bacterial small subunit ribosomal RNA
Source: RNAcentral